GACGAACCGAGCGAACGUUGUUCGGAAUCACUGGGCUUAAAGGGCGCGUAGGCGGGCUGCCGCGUCCGGGGUGAAAUCCCACGGCUCAACCGUGGAACGGCCCCGGGUACGGGCGGCCUCGAGGGGGGUAGGGGCGUGCGGAACUGUGGGUGGAGCGGUGAAAUGCGUUGAUAUCCACAGGAACUCCGGUGGCGAAGGCGGCACGCUGGACCCCUUCUGACGCUGAGGAGCGAAAGCCAGGGGAGCAAACGGG
Molecule: ribosomal RNA, 253 nt
Filed under: uncultured bacterium
Lineage: Bacteria
Description: partial 16S ribosomal RNA
Rfam family: Bacterial small subunit ribosomal RNA
Source: RNAcentral